GCCGCGGUAGCUCAGCCUGGCUAGAGCGUUGCCCUGGUAAGGCAAAGGUCCCGGGUUCAAAUCCCGGCCGCGGCU
Molecule: transfer RNA, 75 nt
Organism: Sulfolobus acidocaldarius DSM 639
Lineage: Archaea; Thermoproteati; Thermoproteota; Thermoprotei; Sulfolobales; Sulfolobaceae
Rfam family: tRNA
About the family: Transfer RNA (tRNA) molecules are approximately 80 nucleotides in length. Their secondary structure includes four short double-helical elements and three loops (D, anti-codon, and T loops). Further hydrogen bonds mediate the characteristic L-shaped molecular structure. tRNAs have two regions of fundamental functional importance: the anti-codon, which is responsible for specific mRNA codon recognition, and the 3' end, to which the tRNAs corresponding amino acid is attached (by aminoacyl-tRNA synthetases). tRNAs cope with the degeneracy of the genetic code in two manners: having more than one tRNA (with a specific anti-codon) for a particular amino acid; and 'wobble' base-pairing, i.e. permitting non-standard base-pairing at the 3rd anti-codon position.
Source: Rfam